UGGGGAAUAUUGCACAAUGGGCGCAAGCCUGAUGCAGCCAUGCCGCGUGUGUGAAGAAGGCCUUCGGGUUGUAAAGCACUUUCAGCGAGGAGGAAGGUGGUGAACUUAAUACGUUCAUCAAUUGACGUUACUCGCAGAAGAAGCACCGGCUAACUCCGUGCCAGCAGCCGCGGUAAUACGGAGGGUGCAAGCGUUAAUCGGAAUUACUGGGCGUAAAGCGCACGCAGGCGGUUUGUUAAGUCAGAUGUGAAAUCCCCGGGCUCAACCUGGGAACUGCAUUUGAAACUGGCAAGCUAGAGUCUCGUAGAGGGGGGUAGAAUUCCAGGUGUAGCGGUGAAAUACGUAGAGAUCUGGAGGAAUACCGGUGGCGAAGGCGGCCCCCUGGACGAAGACUGACGCUCAGGUGCGAAAGCGUGGGGGAGCAAAACAGGAUUAGAUACCCUGGUAGUCCACGCUGUAAACGAUGUCGAUUUUGGAGGUUGUGCCCUUGAGGCGUGGCUUCCGGAGCUAACGCGUUAAAUCGACCGCCUGGGGAGUACGGCCGCAAGGUUAAAACUCAAAUGAAUUGAC
Molecule: ribosomal RNA, 570 nt
Filed under: uncultured bacterium
Lineage: Bacteria
Description: partial 16S ribosomal RNA
Rfam family: Bacterial small subunit ribosomal RNA
Source: RNAcentral